UCUAUUAACUAGAGAACUGGUCAGGUCUGA
Molecule: non-coding RNA, 30 nt
Filed under: Mus musculus (house mouse)
Lineage: Eukaryota; Metazoa; Chordata; Mammalia; Rodentia; Muridae
Source: RNAcentral